UACAUCCUUUUUAUGUCUAUA
Molecule: non-coding RNA, 21 nt
Filed under: Caenorhabditis elegans
Lineage: Eukaryota; Metazoa; Nematoda; Chromadorea; Rhabditida; Rhabditidae
Source: RNAcentral